This 303-nucleotide unclassified non-coding RNA is filed under the name Hevea brasiliensis (rubber tree). The record is from RNAcentral. Lineage: Eukaryota; Viridiplantae; Streptophyta; Magnoliopsida; Malpighiales; Euphorbiaceae.
CAAGAACUUAGAGGAAAGAAGAUAUAUGGGCAGUUAGUUAGAUCUUGUGGGGAUUUGUGUGUACAUAUAUGUAGGAUUAGUUGAUUCAGUUGUAAAGCAUGAGAUUGAGUGGUGUUGGUUGGUAUGUCAUGAUAGGUGUGUGGAAGGGUAACAUAGGAAUCAGAAUGAGGGAUAAGAGGCGCCACAAAGGGAUGGAAGAUGAGAGAGAGUGAAUUUGGAAGCCUGGAAUUGUAAUAUGGAGGCAGGACAGCUUGCAGUUCUAAAUUCUAGUCAUAUUUGUGGGUUAAUUUAAAAGAUAGUAAG